This is a long non-coding RNA of Ornithodoros turicata, 307 nucleotides long. RefSeq lists it as uncharacterized. The transcript has 3 exons. Lineage: Eukaryota; Metazoa; Arthropoda; Arachnida; Ixodida; Argasidae. The record is from RefSeq and is a predicted model, not a curated record.
AACCCAUAAUGAGAAGUUGCGUAUACUUCUGCGCUAAAGGGAAUGGUACAUCGGACUAUGGAUAUCGGACAGACGGCUAUUGCUGGGGCAGAUACGAAAGAGAAGUACACGACACCGAACACUUUGUGGGAGUAUGCAAAGAUGGCUACUGCAAACAGGAUGACAGAGGCCUUCAGUGGUACCAUACAUGUCCGGACGAAAAGUACAAUCAAGAGGAGCACGGUGACGCACCUGUGACAAAAUGCUAUUUCGGCUGUCGCCCGGAAGACACAGAAAGACACUACGGAUUUUUGCAGGGUUAUCCAUG